This 1851-nucleotide ribosomal RNA is filed under the name Henneguya gambusi. RNAcentral describes it as "SSU rRNA". It matches the Rfam family "Eukaryotic small subunit ribosomal RNA". Lineage: Eukaryota; Metazoa; Cnidaria; Myxozoa; Bivalvulida; Myxobolidae. The record is from RNAcentral.
CAUUUAAAAAGUGAGACUGCGGACGGCUCAGUAAAUCGGUUAUAAUCUGUUCGAAAGUUAAUUCCAUUGGAUAACCGUGGGAAAUCUAGAGCUAAUACAUGUAUACAGUAGUCUCGUACUACGUGCAGUUAUUAGUUAAAACCAAAUGGUGUAGCAUGAUGAAUGUUACACUAAGGUGAUUCUAGAUAACUUGGCAGAUUGCAUAGCCUUGAGCUGGCAAUGUUUCGAUUGAAUUUCCGCCCUAUCAACUGUGAUGGUAAGGUAGAGGCUUACCAUGGUUGCAACGGGUAACGGGGAAUCAGGGUUCGAUUCCGGAGAGGGAGCCUGAGAAACGGCUACCACAUCCAAGGGAGGCAGCAGGCGCGCAAAUUACCCAAUCCAGACAAUGGGAGGUGGUAACGAGAAGUACUGAGUGGUAGACAAUGUCUACUAAUCUCAGAAUGAGCAUAAAGUAAACAUGUAGUCGAGUAACGACUGGAGGGCAAGUCUGGUGCCAGCAGCCGCGGUAAUUCCAGCUCCAGUAGCAUGUCGUAAAGUUGUUGCGUUUAAAACGCUCGUAGUCGGAUCAUGCAGUGUCAAUAAGUUGGUUUACGUAUGGGGGCAAACAUACUGUAUGUGAUGAUUAUAUAUCAUUGAUUUGAUAUUAAUCAUGACAUGUAGUGCUAUCAACGUAAACUAUGUGCUUAUUGGCAUUAAUUUCAUGUAAGAAUGAUGGUUAGCCUUUAGUGCGUUGACCAUCGUGUCUUACAGAGUGUGCCUUGAAUAAAUCAUAGUGCUUAAAGCAGGCUUGUGCCUGAAUGAUAGAGCAUGGAACGAACAAACGUGUACGUGAUGUAACAUUAUGGGCCUUUAAACUUGUAAUGUUAUCAUCAUAUCACCAACCACCAUGUACGGAUGUUGGUUUCCGUAUUGGGGUGAUGAUUAAAACGAGCGGUUGGGGGCAUUGGUAUUUGGCCGCGAGAGGUGAAAUUCUUAGACCGGCCAAGGACUAACAAAAGCGAAGGCAUUUGCCAAGACCGUCUCGAUUGAUCAAGAACGAAAGAGAGGGUUUCGAAGAUGAUCAGAUACCGUCCUAGUCCUCUCUGUAAACUAUGCCAACCCGGGAUCAGUUUAGAGCAAUGUCAACGCUCGAGGUUGGUCCCCCUGGGAAACCUAAAGUUUUUGGGUUACGGGGGGAGUAUGGUCGCAAGGCUGAAACUUAAAGGAAUUGACGGAAGGGCACCACCAGGGGUGGAGCCUGCGGCUUAAUUUGACUCAACACGGGACAACUCACUCGGCCAGAACGUCGAAAGGAUUGCCAGACUAAUAGAUCUUGCAUGAUACGAUGUGUGGUGGUGCAUGGCCGUUCUUAGUUCGUGAUGUGAAUUGUCAGGUUGAUUCCGGUAACGAACGAGAUCCCAUUCUUUAUUUACCAUGUGGAAUAGAAGUGGUAAUAACUACUUUUCUGAAUCACUACUCAUUGAACAUGAUCUUCGGUGAUUGUACUAAGAGUAGUGUUCAAUCUUCCACAUAACUGUACAUAGCAAUAUGUGCAGUUGCAUAAAGAGACAACUGAAUAUAUAUAAAAUCAGCGGAAGCAGGGACAAUAACAGGUCUGUAAUGCCCUUAGAUGUUCGAGGCUGCACGCGGGCUACAAUGACGGUAACAAUGAGAUAUCUGGUUCGAAAGAACUGGGAAAUCUGUCAAUUACCGAUCAUGAUGGGGAUUGCUCAUUGUAAUUUGGGCAUGAAAUAGGAAUCCCUUGUACGUGCACUUCAUCAGAGUGUGUGGAAUGAGUCCCUGCCCUUUGUACACACCGCCCGUCGCUACUACCGAGUGAAUCGUUUCAUGAUACGUUGGGAGUCGACCUCG